CUGGGGGGGCCUAUACAUGCAGUCGAGCGGACAGAUGGGAGCUUGCUCCCUGAUGUUAGCGGCGGACGGGUGAGUAACACGUGGGUAACCUGCCUGUAAGACUGGGAUAACUCCGGGAAACCGGGGCUAAUACCGGAUGGUUGUUUGAACCGCAUGGUUCAGACAUAAAAGGUGGCUUCGGCUACCACUUACAGAUGGACCCGCGGCGCAUUAGCUAGUUGGUGAGGUAACGGCUCACCAAGGCAACGAUGCGUAGCCGACCUGAGAGGGUGAUCGGCCACACUGGGACUGAGACACGGCCCAGACUCCUACGGGAGGCAGCAGUAGGGAAUCUUCCGCAAUGGACGAAAGUCUGACGGAGCAACGCCGCGUGAGUGAUGAAGGUUUUCGGAUCGUAAAGCUCUGUUGUUAGGGAAGAACAAGUGCCGUUCAAAUAGGGCGGCUCCUUGACGGUCCCUAACCAGAAAGCCACGGCUAACUACGUGCCAGCUACCGCGGUUAUACGUAGGUGGCAAGCGUUGCCCGGAUUUAUUGGGCGUAAAGGGCUCGCAGGCGGUUUCUUAAGUCUGAUGUGAAAGCCCCCGGCUCAACCGGGGAGGGUCAUUGGAAAUUGGGGAACUUGAGUGCAGAAGAGGAGAGUGGAAUUCCACGUGUAGCGGUGAAAUGCGUAGAGAUGUGGAGGAACACCAGUGGCGAAGGCGACUCUCUGGUCUGUAACUGACGCUGAGGAGCGAAAGCGUGGGGAGCGAACAGGAUUAGAUACCCUGGUAGUCCACGCCGUAAACGAUGAGUGCUAAGUGUUAGGGGGUUUCCGCCCCUUAGUGCUGCAGCUAACGCAUUAAGCACUCCGCCUGGGGAGUACGGUCGCAAGACUGAAACUCAAAGGAAUUGACGGGGGCCCGCACAAGCGGUGGAGCAUGUGGUUUAAUUCGAAGCAACGCGAAGAACCUUACCAGGUCUUGACAUCCUCUGACAAUCCUAGAGAUAGGACGUCCCCUUCGGGGGCAGAGUGACAGGUGGUGCAUGGUUGUCGUCAGCUCGUGUCGUGAGAUGUUGGGUUAAGUCCCGCAACGAGCGCAACCCUUGAUCUUAGUUGCCAGCAUUCAGUUGGGCACUCUAAGGUGACUGCCGGUGACAAACCGGAGGAAGGUGGGGAUGACGUCAAAUCAUCAUGCCCCUUAUGACCUGGGCUACACACGUGCUACAAUGGGCAGAACAAAGGGCAGCGAAACCGCGAGGUUAAGCCAAUCCCACAAAUCUGUUCUCAGUUCGGAUCGCAGUCUGCAACUCGACUGCGUGAAGCUGGAAUCGCUAGUAAUCGCGGAUCAGCAUGCCGCGUAAUUGCCGC
This 1348-nucleotide ribosomal RNA is filed under the name Bacillus amyloliquefaciens. Its description in RNAcentral is "bacterial SSU rRNA". It matches the Rfam family "Bacterial small subunit ribosomal RNA", at positions 36 to 1371 of the family's 1533-position model. Lineage: Bacteria; Bacillati; Bacillota; Bacilli; Caryophanales; Bacillaceae. The record is from RNAcentral.